CCGGACCGGCGCACGGGUGAGUAACGCGUAUGCAACCUGCCUGAUACCGGGGUAUAGCCCAUGGAAACGUGGAUUAACACCCCAUAGUACUUUUAUCCUGCAUGGGAUGUGAGUUAAAUGUUCAAGGUAUCGGAUGGGCAUGCGUCCUAUUAGUUAGUUGGCGGGGUAACAGCCCACCAAGACGAUGAUAGGUAGGGGUUCUGAGAGGAAGGUCCCCCACAUUGGAACUGAGACACGGUCCAA
RNAcentral lists this ribosomal RNA (243 nucleotides) under uncultured bacterium. RNAcentral describes it as "partial 16S ribosomal RNA". It matches the Rfam family "Bacterial small subunit ribosomal RNA", at positions 90 to 334 of the family's 1533-position model. The record is from RNAcentral.